This 553-nucleotide ribosomal RNA is filed under the name Cylindrochalara hyalocuspica. RNAcentral describes it as "eukaryotic LSU rRNA". It matches the Rfam family "Eukaryotic large subunit ribosomal RNA", at positions 85 to 652 of the family's 3401-position model. Lineage: Eukaryota; Fungi; Ascomycota; Leotiomycetes; Helotiales; Hamatocanthoscyphaceae. The record is from RNAcentral.
UACGGCGAGUGAAGCGGCAACAGCUCAAAUUUGAAAUCUGGCUCUUUCAGGGUCCGAGUUGUAAUUUGUAGAAGAUGCUUCGGGUGUGGCUCCGGUCUAAGUUCCUUGGAACAGGACGUCAUAGAGGGUGAGAAUCCCGUAUGUGACCGGUUGCUUUCGCCCAUGUGAAGCUCUUUCGACGAGUCGAGUUGUUUGGGAAUGCAGCUCAAAAUGGGUGGUAAAUUUCAUCUAAAGCUAAAUAUUGGCCAGAGACCGAUAGCGCACAAGUAGAGUGAUCGAAAGAUGAAAAGCACUUUGGAAAGAGAGUUAAACAGUACGUGAAAUUGUUGAAAGGGAAGCGCUUGCAACCAGACUUGCACGCUGCCGAUCAUCUGGGGUUCUCUCCAGUGCACUCGGUUGCGUUCAGGCCAGCAUCGGUUUGGGUGGUUGGAUAAAGGCUUAGGGAAUGUAGCUUCUUUCGGGGAGUGUUAUAGCCCUAGGUGCAAUGCAGCCUACCCGGACCGAGGACCGCGCUUCGGCUAGGAUGCUGGCGUAAUGGUUGUAAGCGACCCGU